AAAGCGAUCUCGAGAACUUGGGAUUACUAAUCGUUUUAGUAGGCAUUAAAUAAACGCGUCGUUCGAAAUGAAAGCCCAAAUUUCUCCCUCUCGGGCCAUAAAGUUUCCAAGCUUUUGACUUUUGCCCUCGCUUCCCUAUCCCUGGGACCGAUUUCAAUACUGUUGAGAAAAAUAAUCUCGGAAAAUUCCAGAGAAAUGCGCGUUCGUGUCAUUUUCACCCUGAUUUUGACUACCUACGUUUCUUGAAAUCGUUUUUAAAUUUGCUACCUGUUAGAUGAUCGUGAAAACGAGGAGGGGAAAUAGGACAACGACAAUUAGGUUCGCGAAUUUUUUUAGCGUAGGGAAAAGUAAAUUGAUCAUCAAAUUCGAGUCAUCUGUUUGCAAUUUUUCGGCUUGUCGUUACACAUACUCGUAUAGCUCGAGCUGACUCAUCAUAAUUCUCUUGUACGUACGAGUACAAUCAUCUACAUAGGACAUAGGGUACUACGAGCGUACCAGCGAAGGCGAAGGUCUAAAAUAUUCUCAAUUGCUCGCUCGAUGAGAUGAGACAUAUAGCCAUAAAUUAAGUAUUAAGUAGGUAUGCUUACGAAGUACUCGUACAUAGUUAUUGGUACCUACGCUCUAUACUAUACACUAUACACAGUACACAGUACACGGUGUAGAACGAACGAAUUAUGAAUAGUCUAGCUCGAUCAUAAAUGCGAGUACGGAGUACCAAAUACCUUUCCAAGUUUCCACUGUACGUAAAUUUUUUUCGAAUUACUUAAUUUAGUGAAGCGCGAGCGCAGGAGGCGCAGGAGCGGUGUUUGAUGGCUGUACCGCGCGCUAAUCGUCGUAAUAAUUUUUUAAUUAAAUCUACCCGCAUGAUGACGGUAUUCCUGCAACCUCGACUCCUCGAGUAGCGAGUCCGAGUACAUUCCAGUCCAAUUAAUCAUUUCGACAAUCGAAUGAAACGGACGCAACCCAACGCUUCGUAAAGUUGACCGACGGCGGACGGUGCCUGAUUUUCUGUAAGCCUUUUCACGCGAUGCUUUUGAAUUUACGAGUCCAGAACAGUUGACAGAGAAGGUGGACUGGAGGAACUGAGGAAGAGUACAAUUCGAUAAUAAACAAACGAAGAAUAAAGAAGUCACCGCGGUCGGCCGCCCAAAAAUAAAAAAAAAACGUGAGGGGCAACGACCACGAUGCGACGAGUAGUAGUAUACGUUAAAUUAUUAAUCUGUUUUUUGAUAGUCUAAUAUGGCGUGUUUGUGUGUGUGUGAAAAUGCGAUGCGGUACGCGGUACCAUUACGUAUUAAACGUAUCUUUAUUGGCUCGACGAUACAAUGUGGCAUGCGGGGCGGGGGCAGGGGCAAAGGCAGCGUACGGCUACAUUACACACAGGAGUAAUAUACUACACUCUCUCAUCAGAAUAUAACAAGCACAGUACUCGUAGAUUAAUAAUCUAAUACUCGUACGAGCAUCUACAACUACAAGCUUGGUACUUGAUACAUUUUUAAAUGGGUAGUAUCCAAAUAAAUGUAAAAACUUUACCUAUAGUCUAGUGAUUGAAAAAUGCUCCAGACUUUCACGAGUAUUCCAUUCCCAGCAGAAAAUGAUUAGAUGUAAUCGAGUCCGAGCAGAUCUAUAAUAUUGGAUCUGGGCAAUGUCCAGCUUCGCUUAGGUCUGAUCAAAUCAGAUCAGAUCAGGUUAGCUCCAAAAUCAGGUCUCCGAGUUAUUUUGGUCUGAUUAGGUCUAUCCGAUCGAAACUUUGAUCCGAGCAUUCCGGGCAGAUCUGAUCGAGUCAAGUUGGAUCCUAUUUCCCAUUCCCGCUGGGUAGGUAGUAACUGCAAUGUAACUGAAAAGAAUUUCAAAACGAAUUGAUUUUCACUACCUAUUCUUACCUACAUACUUUUCCCCCGGGCCCCGAAGCGAUAACUUUUUUCCACAUUCGAAUAUUUUUUUCUCUUUGAAAAGUAAGUACACUUGGCCUCAUUUAGUACUAAGUGCUUUCAAGUUCCUCGUAAGAUCAUUUGGUUGUAAAGACAGUAAUUACUCGCACCUAGGUGCUAAAGUCUUACAUGGUCUAACUUCACCCUUACAACCUGGUUAGACCUAUACCUAGUGCUAUGCACAGAUAGGCACUGGCGAUUUACCGCCUCGUAUACCUACUCUUCGGAGAUAAUAUGAAAUAUAAAUUAUGCAUAUAGAGAAAUAUGAAUAAAGUGAAUACUCGGUCGACUAUAACGUUACAUUAGCUUUAUUGUUAAUUAAGCACUGUAUUGUACAUAGUCUGAUUAUAUUACGUAAAUAGAAUUACGAUUUGAAUAAAGGAAGCGAGUACAAGUAGUCGCAAAUGUGUGUUAAAAACACCACCCAGGGAAGAAGGACAUUUAUGCCGGAUAGGGCAGGUCUGGCAUAAAUGACUCUAAGAAGAGAAUUUAAAGAUGCUGCAGUUCAUCUCUUGAGUAACCACGAUCCGAUCCAAUAGUCUAUUACGUAAAAGAUAUUCCAUAUCCCAGUAAUAAUUAGGUGGAAAGUACGUGCUCCAUACGUCGAACGUACUGAUAGGGCUCCGCACCUCGACCUAUCUAUUGAAUGGAAACUAAGCUCUCGCUUAGUGAGUCCGUGGUUGACUGAAGUUGUGAUCGGAUAACGUGAAACGCUUCACUGACGCGAACUAAACCGCUAGAUAGCGUGGUUACGUAAGAGAACUGAGCGAAAGGUAGAAGGAGAACAAUUUUCCCUCACCUAAGCGACGGAAAAUGGCGCAAUUCCUCCCUUUACAUUGCCCCGAGUGAUUACUUAUAGGAAUAUGUAACCACUCUAACAACUAAAAAGGGAGAAUGACCUAUGUGCCCUAUCCUUUGCCCCGGGUGUUUACAUGUUGCUGUAUAAAAGAAUAAAAAAGUAAAAUAAUAUAAGCAUCUUCUUAUGAACAGAUGAUACAAAAAAAAUAUAAAAAAAAGAGAAAAGAAAAUUAUCCAACUUCUGGAAAAAUUAUAAACGUAGAAUAAAGUGAAAUAAUAUCUAAACAGUAGCUAUAUCUGUGUAAAAUAAAGAAAAGUCACGUUACAUCUUAUGAAUCAAAGUAUCGAACGAAAAUCAAAAAAUGCUUAAUGGACAUACAUUAGUGAUGAAGAUUAUUGACUAUUACAGUAUGUAUAAACUUUGUACAUUAUUACGUUAUUCUAUUCUAUGACUAACAUGAAUUUAUUUAUUGUUUCAGAUUCCAUGGGAUGAGCUGUAGUUCAUGUUGCGAUGUCUGUUUCAUUCCGGGAAGUAUAAAUUGCGUAAGAUUGAUAAGGUUCUUGAUUUUCGAUACUUUGUAACGUGAUUUCGUGUCUACAGAUGUUUACUCAGCAAGAAGAGGCAGCAAACCCAAAACAGCCUCCAGAAUGAUGCGGUGAUCGAGAAAAGGACAUUUAUCGACUAUCUUUUCCGGUAACGUUCGGUCUAGUAUGCUUUCAAGCUGUUUUAUAUAGUUUGUAUUAUGUGUAUCUUUCUUCGAAAUGCUGAUAGCUUCUAGCCAAUUUCUAAAUUUCUUCGUCUUAUCACUAUGUACCGUGUGUUUUAUAGGUGGUAUGACAUAGAUUUUCUUUACGCCCGAAGUACUCAACGUCUUAAUCAGUGCAUUAAAAUCGUCUCUCAAUUUUUCUUCGUUAGUGUUUUCGUGGAGAUCUUUAUGACCUAUCGAUAUCAGCACCUUUUUAGUAUAAGCUUGAUCACCGGCUAUCGCAAAAUGGACCAUUUGAUGUACCAGGCCAUCGCCCAGCAUCCAGUACUGCUGCAAAAAGAAAAUAGUCUCCGUUCCUUUAUUUCGUAACGUAAGUGUAGCUCCGGUUGUGUAUAGGUUAUAUCGAAACUUUCUACACGUCGAACCGAAUUCAUCAGGUAUGGAUGUUUUUAGUGUCAUUCUUCUGAUUUCUUCUUGAAAAAUCUCUCUGGUUACCGGUAAAUGAACUACUUGUUCUUUUUUGUCAUAGGUCGAGAUUGUUAGUCGAUUUCGGUAAUUUUUUACGUCACGAAUUGCUCCGAAAUGUCCUGGCUUGAGAGGGCUACGUGUUUGGUUGUUAUCUAUAAUGGACUCGAACUUAUUCUGCUCGUAUUUCGUUCUAUAUCGAUUGAUAGCAUUGCGUCGGUGAGUAUUACGUAAAGGUGUUCUUGGUACAUAUCGUGAACCUGAUGGCUUAAGUAUUACUUUUAGAUUUUUUGUAUUAAUCGGUUUUCUUUCAGGAGACUUGCGGCGUAUUUGAAUCAUAGUUUUGCUGGUUUUGGUUGGCGAUGAUGGUUUUUUCGGGGGUGAUUUCUUCGGUGAAGAUUUAGCAGGUAAUUUUGCUGUUUUCGUAAUAGUUGAUUUAACCAGCGGAAUUUUGAAUUCGCCUGUUUUUUCUGUUUUUUGGUGGUCGUGUUUCCAAUUCGUAUCCUCGUCUGAUGUGUCUUCGUAUCUCGGUUCAAAUUGCGAUUCAUCGAUUUCUUUUUCAUUAGAUGUUGAUUCUACCGGGAUGUGUUCUUCAUCGCUUAAAGGUUGUAUAAAUUCAUCGAUCGGAUUAUCAUGCUUGUGUUCCGGUGUUACGUUGUCGAUUGGUUCACAUUUUUUCAGCUCUUGGUUCUCUUUGCGUAGCUUCCAUAGUUGUUCUACUAAAGUUGCCGGUGACGUCGAAUCAUCUUUUACGGUCGUAAUUUGGAUAUUAUUUGCUUGUAUUUCGACGUCAGAUGCAAGAAUCAGCGGUGUGUUGCAACUGGAAAAUACGCAUUUUUCGGUCCCAGGAGCAUAAGCCGUAUACAGAUUGGUUAGACAUUUUUCGUGAUAGAUAUGUCUACACGAAGUUAGCUUUAGUUUCGUAUUUGUCCGGUCUUGGUCUGGGCCUUGCCCAAGUGAUUUGUUGCAGCUUGAACAAGUAAUGAUGUUUACUCGUAUUGCCUCCAUUUUCUUCCUAGUUGGUUCAGAAUACUGCUUUUCUUCCAUGAAUUACGUUACGAAAAUGACACUCGAAGCUCGAAGGUAAACGGAAUUGAAUAUGCUUGAAGAUGAUCGAUUUCGGAUUACGUAAGAUGAAUUUGGCAAUUGUAUAUGAUGAUGAUGUGCUGCUACACGUGUUUGGAUUUCUGUUGAACAUUUCAUAUUUGUAGUUCGGAAUAUAUUAUGUAGUGAAUGUUUGCCUUCUAUUACUUACGUGUAGCUGUUGUCUUGGUGACUUGUUUUCAAUAUACUAUUUUUAAUAACUUCUUGAUGUAAUUAGAUUUUUAUUUUAUCACGAUGUUAUACGUUUACGCAAUAAGAUAUCAUUUGGUGCUUUGUAUGUUGAAUGUAAGAUUGUUGCCUGUGAUUUCAAUUUUCACGUUAUACUUUGUUCUAACAUUGUUGUUUUAUUCGAUUACUUUGUACGAUUUUUCUGUGUAUUGCUUGAUAUGUACUAACAGAUGAAAUUGCUCCUUUGGAAUAAAUAGAAAUUGCUCUCAUGAUGAUAAAUUUAUUUUAUUGAAUAUAAAAUAGGUAACGAACGGAAAAAUAACAUUCAACAUAUACUUAGAAUACUAAUUAGUGAUACACCUGAAUUAUUCCA
Long non-coding RNA from Planococcus citri (citrus mealybug), 5546 nucleotides. RefSeq lists it as uncharacterized. NCBI's taxonomy places the organism in Eukaryota, Metazoa, Arthropoda, Insecta, Hemiptera, Pseudococcidae. The record is from RefSeq and is a predicted model, not a curated record. The transcript has 3 exons.